This 462-nucleotide ribosomal RNA is filed under the name uncultured bacterium. Its description in RNAcentral is "bacterial SSU rRNA". It matches the Rfam family "Bacterial small subunit ribosomal RNA", at positions 1 to 465 of the family's 1533-position model. The record is from RNAcentral.
AUUAGAGUUUGAUCAUGGCUCAGAUUGAACGCUGGCGGCAGGCUUAACACAUGCAAGUCGAGCGGGGGAGAUUGCUUCGGUAAUUGACCUAGCGGCGGACGGGUGAGUAAUACUUAGGAAUCUGCCUAUUAAUGGGGGACAACAUUCUCGAAAGGGAUGCUAAUACCGCAUACGCCCUACGGGGGAAAGCAGGGGAUCACUUUGACCUUGCGUUAAUAGAUGAGCCUAAGUCGGAUUAGCUAGUUGGUGGGGUAAAGGCCUACCAAGGCGACGAUCUGUAGCGGGUCUGAGAGGAUGGAUCCGCCACACUGGGACUGAGACCACGGCCCAGACUCCUACGGGAGGCAGCAGUGGGGAAUAUUGGAACAAUGGGGGGAACCCUGAUCCAAGCCAUGCCGCGUGUGUGAAGAAGGCCUUAUGGUUGUAGCACUAUUAAGCGAGGAGGAGGCUCUUCUAGUAAUA